This 253-nucleotide ribosomal RNA is filed under the name uncultured bacterium. Its description in RNAcentral is "partial 16S ribosomal RNA". It matches the Rfam family "Bacterial small subunit ribosomal RNA", at positions 524 to 776 of the family's 1533-position model. The record is from RNAcentral.
UACGUAGGGUGCGAGCGUUGUCCGGAAUUAUUGGGCGUAAAGAGCUUGUAGGCGGUUUGUCGCGUCUGCCGUGAAAGCCCAGGGCUUAACCCUGGGUCUGCGGUGGGUACGGGCAGACUAGAGUGUGGUAGGGGAGACUGGAAUUCCUGGUGUAGCGGUGAAAUGCGCAGAUAUCAGGAGGAACACCAACAGCGAAGGCAGAUCUCUGGGACGUUACUGACGCUGAGACGCGAAAGCGUGGGGAGCAAACAGG